GAUGAAGAACGUAGCGAAAUGCGAUAAGUAAUGCGAAUUGCAGAAUUCAGUGAAUCAUCGAAUCUUUGAACGCACAUUGCGCCCCUUGGUAUUCCGAGGGGCAUGCCUGUUCGAGCGUCAUUAUAACCCCUCAAGCUCAGCUUGGUGUUGGGGCCUGCCGCACGGGCAGCCCUUAAAAUCAGUGGCGGUGCCAUCUGGCUCUAAGCGUAGUAAUUCUUCUCGCUAUAGAGUCCCGGUGGAUGCUUGCCAUUAACCCCCAAUUUUCUAUGGUUGACCUCGGAUCAGGUAGGGAUACCCGCUGAACUUAAGCAUAUCAAUAAGCGGAGGA
Molecule: unclassified non-coding RNA, 328 nt
Filed under: soil metagenome
Description: partial contains 5.8S ribosomal RNA, internal transcribed spacer 2, and large subunit ribosomal RNA
Rfam family: 5.8S ribosomal RNA (bases 1-120)
Source: RNAcentral